Molecule: ribosomal RNA, 460 nt
Filed under: uncultured bacterium
Lineage: Bacteria
Description: partial 16S ribosomal RNA
Rfam family: Bacterial small subunit ribosomal RNA
Source: RNAcentral
CCUACGGGAGGCUGCAGUGAGGAAUAUUGGUCAAUGGGCGGUAGCCUGAACCAGCCAAGUAGCGUGCAGGAUGACUGCCCUACGGGUUGUAAACUGCUUUUAUAUGGGAAUAACGUGCCUUAUGUGUACUGCUUUGCAUGUACCUUAUGAAUAAGGAUCGGCUAAGUCCGUGCCAGCAGCCGCGGUAAUACGGAAGAUACGGGCGUUAUCCGGAUUUAUUGGGUUUAAAGGGAGCGGAGGCGGCAGGUUAAGUCUGCUGUGAAAUGUCCGGGCUCAACCCCGGCCAUGCAGUGGAAAUGGGCGUGCUAGAGUGGGCGGAAAGCAGGCGGAAUUCGUGGUGUAGCGGUGAAAUGCUUAGAUAUGACGCAGAACCCCGAUUGCGAAGGCAGCUUACUGCAGCCGAACUGACGCUGAGGCACGAAAGCGCGGGUAUCGAACAGGAUUAGAUACCCGAGUAGUC